Molecule: unclassified non-coding RNA, 588 nt
Filed under: Alternaria alternata
Lineage: Eukaryota; Fungi; Ascomycota; Dothideomycetes; Pleosporales; Pleosporaceae
Description: partial miscellaneous RNA
Rfam family: 5.8S ribosomal RNA (bases 234-387)
Source: RNAcentral
CUUGGUCAUUUAGAGGAAGUAAAAGUCGUAACAAGGUCUCCGUAGGUGAACCUGCGGAGGGAUCAUUACACAAAUAUGAAGGCGGGCUGGAACCUCUCGGGGUUACAGCCUUGCUGAAUUAUUCACCCUUGUCUUUUGCGUACUUCUUGUUUCCUUGGUGGGUUCGCCCACCACUAGGACAAACAUAAACCUUUUGUAAUUGCAAUCAGCGUCAGUAACAAAUUAAUAAUUACAACUUUCAACAACGGAUCUCUUGGUUCUGGCAUCGAUGAAGAACGCAGCGAAAUGCGAUAAGUAGUGUGAAUUGCAGAAUUCAGUGAAUCAUCGAAUCUUUGAACGCACAUUGCGCCCUUUGGUAUUCCAAAGGGCAUGCCUGUUCGAGCGUCAUUUGUACCCUCAAGCUUUGCUUGGUGUUGGGCGUCUUGUCUCUAGCUUUGCUGGAGACUCGCCUUAAAGUAAUUGGCAGCCGGCCUACUGGUUUCGGAGCGCAGCACAAGUCGCACUCUCUAUCAGCAAAGGUCUAGCAUCCAUUAAGCCUUUUUUUCAACUUUUGACCUCGGAUCAGGUAGGGAUACCCGCUGAACUUAA